RNAcentral lists this ribosomal RNA (395 nucleotides) under uncultured bacterium. Its description in RNAcentral is "bacterial SSU rRNA". It matches the Rfam family "Bacterial small subunit ribosomal RNA", at positions 142 to 518 of the family's 1533-position model. The record is from RNAcentral.
AGUAACAUCCGGAAACGGGUGCUAAUACCGCAUAGUUUUUCUUUGGUCGCAUGAUCGGGAAAGGAAAGACGGCCUUUGUGCUGUCGCUUAUGGAUGGACCCGCGGCGUAUUAGUUAGUUGGUGAGGUAACGGCUCACCAAGACGAUGAUACGUAGCCGACCUGAGAGGGUGAUCGGCCACAUUGGGACUGAGACACGGCCCAAACUCCUACGGGAGGCAGCAGUAGGGAAUCUUCCGCAAUGGACGAAAGUCUGACGGAGCAACGCCGCGUGAGUGGAAGAAGGUUUUCGGAUCGUAAAACUCUGUUGUCAGAGAAGAACAAGUUGGAGAGUAACUGCUCCAGCCUUGACGGUAUCUGACCAGAAAGCCACGGCUAACUACGUGCCAGCCGCGGC